This is a long non-coding RNA of Epinephelus fuscoguttatus (brown-marbled grouper), 639 nucleotides long. RefSeq lists it as uncharacterized. Lineage: Eukaryota; Metazoa; Chordata; Actinopteri; Perciformes; Serranidae. The transcript has 3 exons. The record is from RefSeq and is a predicted model, not a curated record.
GGCCCCCUCGAUCCCUCCAUUUUCUCAACCCCAAAGCAUUUUAGCAUCUUUUCUGUGAGCCUAUACAUUUUUUAAACCUCUUUUUGUGAAUUCAAGUGAUUUUUUUUUUUUUGUUUUUUUUUGUUUUUGACAAAGACUCCGCUUUCUCUUUGUGCAGUGAAAAUUGCUCUUUUUUUGUGCGCCUGCAAUCGACGCCCUUGUGGAUGACCCCAGGUGCCUAAUUCAGAAAUGCGUGCGGGGCUGUCACCGGCUGUACUGAGCCUUGGAGCACACCUGGCAGAUAACCCCGACGCCAACCUCUGGCCCUCCUCCUACCCUGAUCCAUCCCUCGGCUUCGUCCUUCCUCUGAGAACACACUGAACCUUCCACAGACUCACACAAAACUCUUGCUUCCAUGUUUCAAGCUCGUGGUAAUUUCUGUCCCUUCUGUGUGGACGAGGUGGCAGCACACAAAAAGAGGCGGAAUACGACUGGUAAGAAACAACAAACAAAUUUGCUGUGAAGUAAUUUGUCAAAACAAAUUUACCUCACAACAAUGACCGCAUUGUUUAAAUUGUGUUUCAAAUAUAAUUGUCGGCUAUGCUUUUGUUAUUCCUGAGGUAAAUUGCUCUCGGCGAGGUUUGUUAGGAAUGCUUUUGU